AUUGAACGCUGGCGGCAGGCUUAACACAUGCAAGUCGAGCGGGGUGAUGGUGCUUGCACUAUCACUUAGCGGCGGACGGGUGAGUAAUGCUUAGGAAUCUGCCUAUUAGUGGGGGACAACAUCUCGAAAGGGAUGCUAAUACCGCAUACGUCCUACGGGAGAAAGCAGGGGAUCCCUUGUGACCUUGCGCUAAUAGAUGAGCCUAAGUCGGAUUAGCUAGUUGGUGGGGUAAAGGCCUACCAAGGCGACGAUCUGUAGCGGGUCAGAGAGGAUGAUCCGCCACACUGGGACGGAGACACGGCCCAGACUCCUACGGGGGGCAGCAGUGGGGAAUAUUGGACAAUGGGGGGAACCCUGAUCCAGCCAUGCCGCGUGUGUGAAGAAGGCCUUAUGGUUGUAAAGCACUUUAAGCGAGGAGGAGGCUCUUUUGGUUAAUACCCAAGAUGAGUGGACGUUACUCGCAGAAUUAGCACCGGCUAACUCUGUGCCAGCAGCCGCCGUAA
Molecule: ribosomal RNA, 503 nt
Filed under: uncultured bacterium
Lineage: Bacteria
Description: partial 16S ribosomal RNA
Rfam family: Bacterial small subunit ribosomal RNA
Source: RNAcentral